CGAAAAGCUACGAUGGCUACAUUACAGCAGAGCCGCCAAAGCAGGCUGCACAGGAGAGGACAGGGAAGUAAAGCCGUUAUCGUUUUCUCUGUCACACGCCGCUGAACCUGGAGAAGUGAUUUUUAGAUUAUCCGCUAUUUUGGAUUGCCACACCACUGUUACCCUCAAAAUGCAAAACGGACCACAGACUCACUAAUUGCAUUUCUGUCACAUUUAUACCGAUAAAACUGUUGUGGGCGUUAAGUGAGAGCUCAUGCCCUGAUGUGGACUCGUAGAUGCCAGCGUGUUCUUCAUCCACAAGUGCCCUGGUAACUUGUAAUUCUCACGCUUGGCAAAACUGAGUUGAGCUCGGCAAACCGGCCUUGGAUUGAAACCAUCGGCCUUCGCGACAGCCCCAGAAACGGGAGCCACUCGGGCUCCCGCCCCGUGGGGCCCACCAGCACACCCCAGGCUGGGUGCCUUCUGGAAACACGCCACGGGGGACGCCACAUCCCAGGAGUGUGGUCCUCCCCGAAGGUCCCCCCCCCCGGCCCAGGGCUCACCAGCUCCUUCUGGCUCUGAAUCACAGCCAGCACAGCAUCGUGAGUAUGGCAGUGCUGCCUGCCCGUGUUCCAGUCUCUCGGCUCCUCA
Long non-coding RNA from Leopardus geoffroyi (Geoffroy's cat), 630 nucleotides. RefSeq lists it as uncharacterized. The transcript is spliced from 2 exons. NCBI's taxonomy places the organism in Eukaryota, Metazoa, Chordata, Mammalia, Carnivora, Felidae. The record is from RefSeq and is a predicted model, not a curated record.